UACGUAGGGACCGAGCGUUGUCCGGAAUCAUUGGGCGUAAAGAGCGUGUAGGCGGCCACUUAAGUCCUGCGUGAAAUCCUGCGGCUCAACCGCAGGCGGUCGUGGGAAACUGGGUGGCUAGAGUGCGGGAGAGGAGAGUGGAAUUCCUGGUGUAGCGGUGGAAUGCGCAGAUAUCAGGAAGAACACCCGUGGCGAAGGCGGCUCUCUGGGACGGUACUGACGCUGAGACGCGAAAGCGUGGGGAGCGAACAGG
Molecule: ribosomal RNA, 253 nt
Filed under: uncultured bacterium
Lineage: Bacteria
Description: partial 16S ribosomal RNA
Rfam family: Bacterial small subunit ribosomal RNA
Source: RNAcentral